Molecule: ribosomal RNA, 695 nt
Filed under: Enterobacter hormaechei
Lineage: Bacteria; Pseudomonadati; Pseudomonadota; Gammaproteobacteria; Enterobacterales; Enterobacteriaceae
Description: bacterial SSU rRNA
Source: RNAcentral
GGAAGCAGCUUGCUGCUUUGCUGACGAGUGGCGGACGGGUGAGUAAUGUCUGGGAAACUGCCUGAUGGAGGGGGAUAACUACUGGAAACGGUAGCUAAUACCGCAUAAUGUCGCAAGACCAAAGAGGGGGACCUUCGGGCCUCUUGCCAUCGGAUGUGGCCAGAUGGGAUUAGCUAGUAGGUGGGGUAACGGCUCACCUAGGCGACGAUCCCUAGCUGGUCUGAGAGGAUGACCAGCCACACUGGAACUGAGACACGGUCCAGACUCUUACGGGAGGCAGCAGUGGGGAAUAUUGCACAAUGGGCGCAAGCCUGAUGCAGCCAUGCCGCGUGUAUGAAGAAGGCCUUCGGGUUGUAAAGUACUUUCAGCGGGGAGGAAGGCGAUAAGGUUAAUAACCUUGUCGAUUCACGUUACCCGCAGAAGAAGCACCGGCUAACUCCGUGCCAGCAGCCGCGGUAAUMCGGAGGGUGCAAGCGUUAAUCGGAAUUACUGGGCGUAAAGCGCACGCAGGCGGUCUGUCAAGUCGGAUGUGAAAUCCCCGGGCUCAACCUGGGAACUGCAUUCGAAACUGGCAGGCUAGAGUCUUGUAGAGGGGGGUAGAAUUCCAGGUGUAGCGGUGAAAUGCGUAGAGAUCUGGAGGAAUACCGGUGGCGAAGGCGGCCCCCUGGACAAAGACUGACGCUCACGUGCGAAAG